RNAcentral lists this ribosomal RNA (119 nucleotides) under Pteropus alecto (black flying fox). The record is from RNAcentral. Lineage: Eukaryota; Metazoa; Chordata; Mammalia; Chiroptera; Pteropodidae.
GUCUAUGGCCAUGCCACCCUGAAUGUGCCCGAUCUAGUCUGAUCUCAGAAGCUAAGCAGGGUCAGGCCUGGUUAGUACUUGGAUGGGAGAUCACCCAGGAAUACCAGGUGCUGUAGGCA